This 490-nucleotide ribosomal RNA is filed under the name uncultured bacterium. Its description in RNAcentral is "bacterial SSU rRNA". It matches the Rfam family "Bacterial small subunit ribosomal RNA", at positions 501 to 990 of the family's 1533-position model. The record is from RNAcentral.
CUACGUGCCAGCAGCCGCGGUAAUACGUAGGGGGCAAGCGUUAUCCGGAUUUACUGGGUGUAAAGGGAGCGUAGACGGAAUGGCAAGUCUGAAGUGAAAUACCCGGGCUCAACCUGGGAACUGCUUUGGAAACUGUUGUUCUAGAGUGUUGGAGAGGUAAGUGGAAUUCCUGGUGUAGCGGUGAAAUGCGUAGAUAUCAGGAAGAACACCGGAGGCGAAGGCGGCUUACUGGACAAUAACUGACGUUGAGGCUCGAAAGCGUGGGGAUCAAACAGGAUUAGAUACCCUGGUAGUCCACGCUGUAAACGAUGAAUACUAGGUGUCGGGGUGCAAAGCAUCUCGGUGCCGUCGCUAACGCAAUAAGUAUUCCACCUGGGGAGUACGUUCGCAAGAAUGAAACUCAGAGGAAUUGACGGGGACCCGCACAAGCGGUGGAGCAUGUGGUUUAAUUCGAAGCAACGCGAAGAACCUUACCAAGUCUUGAGAUCCC